UACAGAGGAGCCAAGCGUUGUCCGGAUUGACUGGGCGUAAAGCGCACGCAGGCGGUCGCGCGCGUGGGGUGUGAAAUCUGGCCGCUUAACGGCCAGGCGCCAUCCCAUACGGCGCGACUGGAGUGAUGCAGAGGUCGGUGGAAUUGCCGGUGUAGCAGUGAAAUGCGUAGAUAUCAGGAGGAACACCGAUGGCGAAGGCAGGUCUCUGGGCUGACACUGACGCUCAUGCACGAAAGCGUGGGGAGCAAACAGG
This 253-nucleotide ribosomal RNA is filed under the name uncultured bacterium. RNAcentral's name for it is "partial 16S ribosomal RNA". It matches the Rfam family "Bacterial small subunit ribosomal RNA", at positions 524 to 776 of the family's 1533-position model. The record is from RNAcentral.